AGGGCGUAUGGGGGAUGCCUAGGCUCUCAGAGGCGAAGAAGGACGUGAUAAGCUGCGAAAAGUUGCGGGGAUUGGCACAUACGAAUUGAUCCGCAAAUAUCCGAAUGGGGCAACCCAGUACAUUGAAGAUGUACUACACCUUAUAGGUGGGCAAACCUGCUGAACUGAAACAUCUUAGUAGGCAGAGGAGAAGAAAACAAAAGUGAUUCCCAGAGUAGUGGCGAGCGAAAUGGGAGCAGCCCAAACCCAUAUUGUUACGGCAAUAUGGGGGUAGUAGGACCCAGAUAUAGGUUGUAAAGCUGGAUUAGAAGUGUUUGGAAAGACACACCAUAGAGAGUGAAAGUCUCGUAUAGGCACAGUUUUAUAAAUCUUAUGGGUAUCCUGAGUAGGUCGGGGCACGUGGAACCUUGACUGAAUCCGCCGGGACCAUCCGGUAAGGCUAAAUACUCCUGAGAGACCGAUAGUGAACCAGUACCGUGAGGGAAAGGUGAAAAGAACCGUGAAUAACGGAGUGAAAUAGACCCUGAAACCAUACGCUUACAAGCGGUCGGAGCAGCAUUAGCUGUGACGGCGUGCCUUUUGCAUAAUGAGCCUACGAGUUACUGUUACCAGCGAGGAUAAGUAUUUCAGAUACGAAUCCGUAGCGAAAGCGAGUCUGAAUAGGGCGGCAAAUAGUUGGUAGUAGUAGACGCGAAACCUGGUGAUCUACCCUUGGGCAGGUUGAAGCGCUGGUAACACAGCGUGGAGGACCGAACUGGUUGUCGUUGAAAAGACUUCGGAUGACCUGAGGGUAGGGGUGAAAGGCCAAUCAAACUGGGAAAUAGCUCGUACUCCCCGAAAUGCAUUUAGGUGCAGCGUUGAUGCGAGUUUAAUAGAGGUAGAGCUACUGAUUGGAUGCGGGGGUUUCAUCGCCUACCAAUUCCUGACAAACUCCGAAUGCUAUUAAAUGCUCAUCAGCAGUGAGGGUAUGGGUGCUAAGGUCCAUAUCCUAAAGGGAAAGAACCCGGACCAUCAGCUAAGGUCCCCAAAUAUAUGCUAAGUUGACCAAACGCGGUCUGACUGCACUGACAGCUAGGAUGUUGGCUUGGAAGCAGCCAUACAUUUAAAGAGUGCGUAACAGCUCACUAGUCGAGCGGUUGGGCAUGGAUAAUAAACGGGCAUAAGCAUAUUACCGAAGCUAUGGGGUUAUUACUUGAAGUAAUAUACCGGUAGGGGAGCAUUCUAUUGGCGUGGAAGCUAAAGGCGUGAGCCAUAGUGGAGCCUGAUAGAAAAGAAAAUGUAGGCAUAAGUAACGAUAAGGCAGGCGAGAAACCUGCCCGCCGAAAGAUCAAGGUUUCCUCAGCUAUGCUAAUCAGCUGAGGGUUAGUCGGGGACUAACGCGAACCCGAGUAGGGGUAGUGGAUGUACAAUAGGUUAAUAUUCCUAUACCAUUAGUCUGUUAAAAGUGACGGAAUGAGAUAACUACCGCGUACUGACGGAAUAGUACGUUUAAGGAGUUGUUAUGACUUCGAAAGUACGCUGAGGCUUCGGCCGAGGUGAGUGUGGUGACAACGUUUCCAAGAAAAGCGAAGGCUAAUGCCCGUACCGUAAACCGACACAGGUGAUUGGGAUGAGAAUUCUAAGGCGCUCGAGAGAUUCAUGGCUAAGGAACUAGGCAAAAUAGACCUGUAACUUAGGGAGAAAGGUCGCCUAUCAAUAGAUAGGCCGCAGUGAAAAGGUCCAAGCGACUGUUUAUCAAAAACACAGGACUCUGCAAAAUCGAAAGAUGAAGUAUAGGGUCUGACACCUGCCCGGUGCUGGAAGGUUAAGAGGAGAGCUUAGCAGCAAUGCGAAGGUUUGAAUUGAAGCCCCAGUAAACGGCGGCCGUAACUAUAACGGUCCUAAGGUAGCGAAAUUCCUUGUCGGGUAAGUUCCGACCUGCACGAAUGGUGUAACGAUUUGGACACUGUCUCGGCCAUGAGCUCGGUGAAAUUGUAGUAUCGGUGAAGAUGCCGAUUACCCGCAGUGGGACGAAAAGACCCUGUGCACCUUUACUAUAUCUUCGUAUUGGUCUUGGAUAAGUGAUGCGUAGGAUAGGUGGGAGACUAAGAAGCGGCUAUUCCGGUAGUUGUGGAGUCAUUGUUGAAAUACCACCCUUUGCUUAUCUGAGGUCUAACCCUGCUAAGAGCAGGGGACAAUUCGUGGAGGGUAGUUUGACUGGGGUGGUCGCCUCCAAAAGUGUAACGGAGGCUUCUAAAGGUACCCUCAGACCGAUUGGUAACCGGUCGUAGAGUG
Molecule: ribosomal RNA, 2274 nt
Filed under: human oral metagenome
Description: bacterial LSU rRNA
Rfam family: Bacterial large subunit ribosomal RNA
Source: RNAcentral